GCCCGAGUGGCGUAGUGGUAGCGCAUCCGACUCGUAAUCGGAAGGUCGUCGGUUCGAAUCCGAUCUCGGGCU
RNAcentral lists this transfer RNA (72 nucleotides) under Actinomycetota bacterium. Its description in RNAcentral is "tRNA-Thr". It matches the Rfam family "tRNA". From Rfam's summary of the family: Transfer RNA (tRNA) molecules are approximately 80 nucleotides in length. Lineage: Bacteria; Bacillati; Actinomycetota. The record is from RNAcentral.